CCUACGGGAGGCAGCAGUGAGGAAUAUUGGUCAAUGGGCGUAAGCCUGAACCAGCCAAGUAGCGUGAGGGAUGAAGGUUCUAUGGAUCGUAAACCUCUUUUAUAUGGGAAUAAAGUGUGGGACGUGUCCUAUUUUGUAUGUACCUUAUGAAUAAGGAUCGGCUAACUCCGUGCCAGCAGCCGCGGUAAUACGGAGGAUCCGAGCGUUAUCCGGAUUUAUUGGGUUUAAAGGGUGCGUAGGCGGACUUUUAAGUCAGCGGUGAAAGUUUGUGGCUCAACCAUAGAAUUGCCGUUGAAACUGGGGGUCUUGAGUACAUUGGAGGUAGGCGGAAUGCGUGGUGUAGCGGUGAAAUGCUUAGAUAUCACGCAGAACCCCGAUUGCGAAGGCAGCUCGCCAGGCCAUGACUGACGCUGAUGCACGAAAGCGUGGGGAUCAAACAGGAUUAGAUACCCGAGUAGUC
This 460-nucleotide ribosomal RNA is filed under the name uncultured bacterium. RNAcentral describes it as "partial 16S ribosomal RNA". It matches the Rfam family "Bacterial small subunit ribosomal RNA", at positions 338 to 795 of the family's 1533-position model. The record is from RNAcentral.